RNAcentral lists this ribosomal RNA (330 nucleotides) under uncultured eukaryote. Its description in RNAcentral is "partial 18S ribosomal RNA". It matches the Rfam family "Eukaryotic small subunit ribosomal RNA", at positions 1470 to 1796 of the family's 1831-position model. The record is from RNAcentral.
CCCUUAGGUGUUCUGGGCCGCACGCGCGCUACACUGAUGAAUUCAACGAGCUCCUAACCUAGGCCGAAGGGUCCGGGUAAUCUUUGAAAUUUCAUCGUGAUGGGGAUAGAUUAUUGCAAUUAUUAAUCUUCAACGAGGAAUUCCUAGUAAGCGCGAGUCAUCAGCUCGCGUUGAUUACGUCCCUGCCCUUUGUACACACCGCCCGUCGCUCCUACCGAUUGAAUGGUCCGGUGAAAUGUUCGGACCGCGACAAGGCGGACGGUUCGCUGUCAGCUUUGCUGCGGGAAGUUCAUUAAACCUUAUCAUUUAGAGGAAGGAGAAGUCGUAACA